CCUACGGGAGGCAGCAGUGAGGAAUAUUGGUCAAUGGGCGCGAGCCUGAACCAGCCAAGUAGCGUGAAGGAUGACUGCCCUACGGGUUGUAAACUUCUUUUAUCAAGGAAUAAAGUGAGGCCCGUGUGCCUUUUUGUAUGGACUUUAUGAAUAAGGAUCGGCUAACUCCGUGCCAGCAGCCGCGGUAAUAGGGAGGAUCCGAGCGUUAUCCGGAUUUAUUGGGUUUAAGGGGAGCGUAGAUGGGUUGUUAAGUCAGUUGUGAAAGUUUGCGGCUCAACCGUAAAAUUGCAAUUGAUACUGGCAGCCUUGAGUACAGUUGAGGUAGGCGGAAUUCGUGGUGUAGCGGUGAAAUGCUUAGAUAUCACGAAGAACUCCGAUUGCGAAGGCAGCUUACUAAACUGCCACUGACAUUGAUGCUCGAAAGUGUGGGUAUCAAACAGGAUUAGAUACCCGAGUAGUC
This 460-nucleotide ribosomal RNA is filed under the name uncultured bacterium. RNAcentral's name for it is "partial 16S ribosomal RNA". It matches the Rfam family "Bacterial small subunit ribosomal RNA", at positions 338 to 795 of the family's 1533-position model. The record is from RNAcentral.